Ziziphus jujuba (common jujube) is the source of this 503-nucleotide long non-coding RNA. RefSeq lists it as uncharacterized. The transcript is spliced from 2 exons. The record is from RefSeq and is a predicted model, not a curated record. Lineage: Eukaryota; Viridiplantae; Streptophyta; Magnoliopsida; Rosales; Rhamnaceae.
GCUUAUAGCUUGGUGAGCUAUUUGAGAAAAUUUGUUGGUAGAGAGCAAAAUACAAUUCAUUUAGGGAUUUUAGUUGCUUAAAAUACAAGUUACAAAUUAUGGUUUUUUUAUCUACUGCUACUUUAGGUGGAGCAAUACUUUGAUGAUGAAUUUGACUCUUAUGAAGCUAGAGUUUACUUUGGAAAUAGAUCCACCACCAAUUCCCAAUAAUGAAAGUACUGCCAAGGCUAGAAAGUUGUAUAAAGAUUGGAAACACUAGAAUAAGUGUUGUAUGAUUGUAUGGAUGAUUCUAUAUAUAUCAGUAUUCUAAAGGUACAUACUGCUAAGAAUCUCUAGGAUGAGAUUAGUAAGAAAUUCAUCAAAUUUGACAAGAAUGAGAAGCACAACUUUUUAGAUUUACUUACAUCCACUAUAUAUGAUGAAGUUAGUGGUGUAAAAGAGCAUAUAUUGAAGCUUUCCUCAUUUUAUAACAAGCACAAAGACAUGGAAAUAAAUUUGGAUAA